CACGUAGGUCCCGAGCGUUGUCCGGAUUUAUUGGGCGUAAAGCGAGCGCAGGUGGUUCAUUAAGUCUGGUGUAAAAGGCAGUGGCUCAACCAUUGUAUGCAUUGGAAACUGGUAGACUUGAGUGCAGGAGAGGAGAGUGGAAUUCCAUGUGUAGCGGUGAAAUGCGUAGAUAUAUGGAGGAACACCGGUGGCGAAAGCGGCUCUCUGGCCUGUAACUGACACUGAGGCUCGAAAGCGUGGGGAGCAAACAGG
Molecule: ribosomal RNA, 252 nt
Filed under: uncultured bacterium
Lineage: Bacteria
Description: partial 16S ribosomal RNA
Rfam family: Bacterial small subunit ribosomal RNA
Source: RNAcentral